CAAGCAAUAUACCAUCUCGACCACCUCGUGGUCCAUAUGAUCACCUCGUGAUCAAAACAUCCACCUGAUCACCUCGUGAUCAACAUAUCCACACGGUCACCUCGUGACCACAUCACAAACUGAAUGAUCAUCCUCAAGAUCAUCUCAACAUCAUCAUCAACAUCCUGCCAAACUGUUACUGCUCACAUACAUCAUAUAAAUCAACUAUAAGUCAUUCCGUCACGUGAGUGUUGAUCGAACGGUGUGACCUAGUAUGGACGCGGCUAUCGAUAGCUUAAACACACACUCUGCAGAGGUAGCACACUGUACCCACACCAUGGAACCCAUGGCCUCGCACUCCCAUUCGGGUGGACCAACGGCGUUCCGACAAAACCGAUCUACUGCCAUGACACUCUCCCGGCCACUCCGACCAACACCCCCUUUGGGUUCAGUCCUGGGUGGCCCCGUGCCUACCAAAGGCACCAACAGCCACCGUUGUGGCAAAACGGCCACCGUCGUGGCAAACAAAAACGGUCCCAAACGGGGACAAAAGCGCGCAAAAUCCAACUACGGGCACACAAGGCUUAUGUACGCCUACCUGAUCAGGGUAGCGCGCGCCCAUAACCUUCCCUCGGUGGAGGCACCGGCGAGAGACACGGCAAUAGCAUCACAUUAGGGCCUUCCCAUAAAGGCAAAUGUGGUUGCACUGGAGAAAGCCCGGUUCGGUGGCACCUGACCAACUUAAUGACGGAAUUUAUCCCGAAAAAUAUAACUGUGAUAACUGAUACUCCGAUAUCAACUAUCAAACUAUAAUCCAAGUCAUAGCAAUAUCCAACAAAUAAUCUGAGCAUAAUAUCAUCAUAUCAAAAUACUCCAAGGAUAGCAUAACAUUUCUAUCAUGAUGAAUCUGAAAACAAUAACUCUGCUACUCCAAUAACAAGAACAAAGCUAUCUAGCUAAGAUCCACACGUAAACAUCAUCUCCAAAAUUAAUACUCCAAGCAACAGUAACAGAAUAUCGACUAGCAUCAUGAAAAUAAUCAUACUAACCACUAAUAAUCCAAAGGCACCAUGACAUCCAAAGUAAUACUCCAAAAUAUAAUAACAGAUAUCAUCAUGAAAACAAUCAUAAUAUCAACCACUAAUACUCCAAUGGCAACAUGAUACUCAUCAACUACAAACAUAACUCCUAGUAAUCCAAACAAUAGCAUGGCAACAACAAGAUCAAAAUAAUACUCUGAGAAAAUGCCAUGCACAAAGUCAUGUAGCUAAAGCAAUAUUUUAAACAAGUUCAAAUAUAUUAAACCAUGUCACUGCAUUACAGUGAUGCAAAUGGAGGGUGUGGCUUGCCUGGGGUGGAAGAAAUCACCGGGAAGGAGUGCGAGAAGCUCGCGGAAAGAAUCACCAAAAAACGUUCUCUCUCGGAGGGGGCUGAUUAAGCGCAAGGGCAAAGUGGUCAUUUUCAGAAUGUGAAAACAUGGUGAAGAUGAUUCCAUUGGAACGGGCUCGACGAAACGAAGAAGUGGGCUUUGGAUUCACCUGAUUUGGAGCUAUGGGGAAAAGAUAUGAAUGUUUUUCUGCCAGGGACCUAUCUGUAAAGAAAUCAUCACAAACAGGCCCUCGGCUGAAAAAACAGAAAGCGCACUUUACGAAAAUAGGCCUUCUCCUAAGGAAAACAUAUUACUCGCUGCAACAGAGAUAAAAUACGCUUUCAGAAGAGGAAAACGUACUCUGCUUGAAGGAGAGGGAAAAUACACUUUCCACAAAUGAAAACGUACUCACGGGUUUGCGCCUCCACUUAAUCCAGUCAGCAGGGUGCGGGGCCGGGGCUUGGGUCUCUGACACGUGGAGCCACGGGGUCCACACAUGGUCAACUCUCUCCUCCCGCCUCCUUCUCCUUCUUCCCCCGACACCGCACGCAGAGCAGAGGAGAGGCCGCCGGCGCCGGCGCUCGCUCCGGCCACUCGGGCCACCUCCGGCAGAGCUUGGACCGCCGGCGUGCUCAGGACGGCGAGGCGCACCCGUCCCUCCACCACUCGAACAUCAGGGAGAAACGGGCAAGGCGGGACCAUGGCCGCGGCGGACGGGGCUCUCCGGGCUCCGGGGAACUCGUGGCCAGAGGCCACCGGAGAAUGAAUGGGGCACUUGGGUGGAUCUAGGGUGGAUGAGGAGGCCUCUGGUGGUGCUAGAAUGGAGGGAGACAGCUCGACUCGCUCGGAUUUAGGCCGGAGGGGGCGGCGGCCAUGGCAAAUGGAGGACGAGCAAAGGGGCUCCGGUGCUCGGUGAAGAGGUUUGGGAGGUGUAGUGAAGUGAGGCAAAGGCGAUGGUGAGGUCGAGAGGCCUCGGGGUGGGAUUAUAUAGGGGAGGGGAGGGGCUGCUGCGCUGGCGUCGCCAUGGACGCGUGGCCGGCGCAGCAGACGCGUGGCCGGCGCAGCGGACGCGUGCCCACGCUCGCGAGCUCGGAGGUAGACGACGUAGGAGGAGCAGUGGAGGUUCUCACGGGGCAGAGGAGGCCAAGAGAUGCAGGGGAGAAGCGGCCGAGGAGGAAAACGACGGUCGGUGCACUGUGCUCUCGUGGGCGUUCAGCUGCGAGCGUCGGUGAGGAAGCGGACCAAGGGGGAGAGGGGUCUAGGGGAACGGCGAUGACGCGGGCCAGCUGCUGGACACGCUCACGCGCGCGAAGCCGAUGAGGGGGAGAGGGGCCGGAGCUAGAAGACGCUUUGGGCGCGACCAACGGCAGCAGAGCGCGCGCACUGUUGUGCCAUUAACGCGGUCACCGCGUGCACUAGCAUGUAGUGGGGGCAAUGAGCUGGAAUGUGUUGUCUAGUGGUAAGUUCUUCCAAGGAAGGUUUCAACUGUGGUGGUAGAUCGAUGAAAAACUCUCUGGUUAAAUGGUAAUCAUCGUCUGAAGUUUACUGCAGUAAACUUUGUUGUGCACUGGUGAUCAACAGGGAAGUUAUUGUGGUCAAUGGAGUUGUCUGGGGUGAUUAACUAUGGAAGGACUAUGAUACUGGAGGUUUUGGUGCAUAAUGGAUCACAAACUAAUAUAGUUGUUGUGUAACCCCAAAAUUGGUCCGGAAUCAAGAUUUGGAUGAUGCACUCACAUGGUGAUGCCACUUGAGCUAGAAUUUGGCAAGGCAUCAUGAUUUGGUCAUAAGAAGAUGCUGUAAAAAGUUUGCACCAAAUGGAUUCACCAAAAUGGUACUUCCUUCACAGCUAUUCCCUCUGUCCAGAAACUUGCAGAAAUUCUAGAGAAAUAUUGGCUUUAAUAAUUGAUCCCAAAAUUGGUGGAGAGAUGUUAUUUGGGUAGGAGAAUGAUCAGGUAAAUUUUCAGGCAAAAUUAAGCAAUAUAAAAUAUACUUGCUUCACAACCUGAAAAUAUUGACAGAAUCAAAGAUUUGAUCCUGUGCUCACAUAGAUCAAGGGAUGGAGCUGAAAUUUGGAGGAGUGUGAUAAUAUGAGAACAUGAAGGAGUGUGCAAAAGUAAAACUCAUUUGGAUACUCCUAGUUAGUACUUCCUUCACAAAGCCUUCUGUCUGACAGAAACUUUGAAAAAUCACUGAGGAAGAUUGGCUAGGCAAAUAAAGUUGAACUUGUGCAUGAGGCAAUGAUUUGGACAUAAAAGAAUUCCCAAGGAGUUUGGGAGCAACUCGGAAAAUAUAAAUGACACUUCCUUCACAAAGUGCCAUUUAGGGCAAAAUAGAAGAAUAAUUUUUGGGGAAUUAUUCUUGGGCUAGGGGAUGAAAGUUUGGGCAUAUUUGAGCAACAUAUGACCCAAAGAAAUUAUGAGAAUUAAUUGGGAUUUUUGGGAGUGACAGAAAUAUAGGUUGCUUCACAACCUAGGGCAGACAGGGUUAUUCCUUUAAAAAAGGAAUAUUCCCUAGAAAAAAAGAUUUUAGGGUUUGGUCAAAGAGUGAAGUGACAUGAUCUUGGCAAGGUUUUGAGAGUGAUGAGCCACUUGGGAGGGGGAAUGAGGAUGAUUUCCCAGGUGGCAAGGCCACAGAACCACUCCAAAAUGAAAAACAGAGCAAAAACCAAUAAAUCAAAAAGAAAAGGGAAAGGGCCAAAAACCAGGCUGUUACAGCUCUUACCCCCCUUAAAGAAAUCUCGUCCUCGAGAUUUAGUUGCUCAGGGAACAAGUAUGUCUUGAGGACACCAUUUCCCACUCAGGUAUCCUUUUUCCUUUAUUUAUUGUUCCCCCAGGAAUUUUAUAUGAUUUGAUUAUCUUUGCUCGGGUGUGGUUUGCUUCACCUUUCCCCAAAUUCUGACGGGUUUUUGCUCACACACCAAAUCCUUUUGCUGAUGUUGAUUCUUUCAUAUCUUCAGUGAUAUCCAAUGGAUCUGAGCAUAAAUUUCCUUUUGUCAUGAAAACCUUAAUACUUCUGUCAUGGGGUUGCUUCAAAUAAAUGCAGGCCUUCUGGUUUCAAUAAAGGCUGAGAAUUAAUCAUGGCCAUCUUCUGACGGGAUCUGACUUCUCAUAAGUGGUACUGAUUUAUUUUGAUUUAUUCUUUUCGCUCGAGCAUGAGAUAUGUACCAAAGAUCUGACUGCCUUUUGUCAGGAGCAAUAUAACGGUGUAUGGAGUUAUAGUUGUGUCAUACCUCAAAUAUUUACAUCUUGAGACUGGUCCGAUAGGGGGCUGAGGGACAAAUGCUUUUCCUGACCGUGUACUUGAUUCCGUCGGUGAGUAUACCGGGUCUGAGCUGAUUGUUCAGCUUUUGAUUUUCUCAUUUUGUCGGUAUACCCAAUUGGAUUUUUUUCACACUAACCAUUCCAAGCGGGUCAGCGGGACAUGAAAUCCUUGUAAAACAGAGUAAUCCUCUGAGGGUAUGCCUUUGUAGAUUCAUAUGGAAAUUAUGGCCUCCAACUGACUUGGGUAUCCGGACCCUGUCCUUUAUUCUUCGUAUGACCAUGGUUGUGGUUAGUGCAAUAUUUUUGCCAUUAUUCCUUGUGCUUGGGUUCCGCACGUAUAUGACAUAUACUCGGGGCUUGUAACCGUACAGAGCUUGUUGUUGAGGCAAAUCAUACAAGAGGGUGACAAGAGUUCAUAUAUCACCUUGUCAGGCGCGGGAAUAAUUGCCUUGAUGACCAUUGUCAAGACUGUGGAUUCUGCAUUGUCCUCUUCAGAUCUUGUCGAUCAUUGUAUUACAUGAGAUGUAUCUCUGCUUAUCUUCAUUUGCAUGGCUCAUGAGGUUGUGGGAUCCUUACUUUCCUUAGGUAUAUCUGUUGGAUCCUUGCCGCAUCUUGUAUGAGUGACUGAUGUGACUGGGGAUGCAUGCUCACCAUAUAUAAAAAUCAUAUGCAACCAAACACUUGAUUCUUGGGGUAGGCAUAUGUUUUGACUGCAUUGUACCUCUGACAAAAUUAUUGCAAAUCUGACACUUGAACUGCACUUCUGCUCAAAGCUUUUGUCUGGGUAGCGUGCAGAAGAAGCCUCGAUAGCUUACACACGAAGCUUGACAUGAGUAUUGUACAGGAGAAGUCGGGUUUCCGUACUUGAGAAGCUUCUCCUCGGGUUGCUUGUCGAGAAGUAUUAAUUUUCCGUAUGUCAGAAGCUUUUACUGAGGUAUCUUGCUGUGUAAGACCGGGUAUCUUGGACCAGAAUUUGUUCACAUAUCAUGCUGAGGAAAAUUGAGGAGCCUUGCAUCAUAAAUUUCUUCCAAUAAUGUGUGGAAGAAGACUGAGUUUCUUACAUCCAAAGCUUCAUACUAAUAUGCAGACUGAAAUCUACACACACGCCCAUAAUAUUCUAUGGCUGAUUAUUUGCAUGAUAAAGUUUAUUUGACGGUCUUCCUUGAGCAUAUCACAUUCUGACUUUAUUUCGGAUGAUAACAUAUUUCAAGCAUCAUGCAUUGCUGAGCCAAAAUUUUGUAUAUGACCCAUACCUCUGACUGAAAAUAUAUCGUUGAGCUUACACCUGACUUGUCUUGUUGCGGACUUGAUUAUUACUGCUGUGAGAGUUUUGUACUGAUGUAGACUUGAGUUAUCCGUACUGUUGUGAGGAGUGCACACUAAUGCAAAAUUGAUUAUCAGCCUCAAAAUCAGAUAUUCCCCAUUUCACUGUAGUCGGCUGAGAAUUCCACUCUGUUUAGCUGAGUUUCCAAAUAUUUGAACUCCGUAUUACUUCUUCGAGUCCGGUGUCAGUUCAUGAGCAACUCCUUAUAGGGGAAAAAAUAAUGUAACACCGGGGCCCAAAAAGAAAGAAGCAAAAGAAAACUCAACUAAACAAAAGCACACAACAACAAUUAAUUCACACACAAUCAAUGUCACAUAUUACUGCUAGUCACACAAUAUGCAUGCCUACUUAAGCACACAAAUCUCGCCGGAUCUCCGGUUCUACGAUCUAGCAUGUUGUGAUGAUGUGCACGAGGACGAAUAAAUGUGUGGAAGAAUUGGUGUAAACAGCGCUACACCAAGUGCUAGCUUAGCCAGGUAGCAACCUGGACUAGCUCGGAGGCGAGGACGUACUUGGUAACCAUGUAGCAGGACACGAAUGUCGCGACCACAUUAUUAUCAAGCGGAUGGAAAAUAUCCGUACUCGUCCAAGAAAUAGGGAUAGCGGGGAAAAACUGAGUCUACUGGCAUUGCCCUUUCGUGAUGACUAAGAUCAUUAAGGGUUGGCAACACGACAAAAUAAAAAGGACGAUCCGGGAUAGAAGCAUGUCUACCACCGAAACAAAAUGGGGCUGAAAGAAAGAAAUCGGCGCUAUACCUGAGCACCAUUUUUGCAAACAGUGUCGGGAUCACUUGGCAUCACUCUGCUGGGGCAGAAAUGACACCAAACACCAAAAGAAAAAGGAACUGGAGAAAUGUAGAGGCUGAGCUGUAGUGGAUCCGAACCGAUGCCAGCUACACUCACCAGAUAAACCGUUAGUAACAAAUAAUAAGGCUAUAUGCAUGCUAUGCAACAAACAAAUGCAGCAACCAAAUACAAUAAACAAGUCGGACCUUAAACUACCGAUUUCUACCGCUCGCGCUGACUAGGGCGUCCUACAGCCAGACCUGCUAUGAUACCAAGCAUUGUGGCACCCCGGCUCAGAGAAACCGGAACGCCCCGUAUUCCAGCCUAGAGAUCGAGGAAAAGUCUCUGGAAUACGGCACUGCUUGACAUAGAACAAAUCAGCUCUUAUUACAAGAAUAAUAAUACAAGGGUCUGAUGUUACAAAGAAGCACAUCAGCACAGCGACACUACGCCUACGAUACUACACUUGCUCUAUGCUAGCAGCGGAAUACUUAUAGCAGCGGAACGACAACGAAGGUGGUGAAUCUCCACUCCGCAGGGACUCUGGCUGGGACACGAUCUAGCUCGCACGCACGGCAACCUCGACAAGCAAGCAAGCAAUCAUGGCAUCACCUGCAAUCUGGCAUGACAUGCCAGGUCAGUACAUUGAAUGUACUUGCAAGCUCACAACAACCAUAAACAUCAAGGCAAGACAAUAACAUAGCAUUAAGCAGGUUAAUUAAAUUAACAUCUACCAUGAUACGACAACAACUACUAAGCAUGAUAUGAAACUACUACAUUGUUGAUAAACCAACAACUCAUUCCCAACAACAAUAUCAUUCUUGGCUAACGGGCCAAGCAAUAUACCAUCUCGACCACCUCGUGGUCCAUAUGAUCACCUCGUGAUCAAAACAUCCACCUGAUCACCUCGUGAUCAACAUAUCCACACGGUCACCUCGUGACCACAUCACAAACUGAAUGAUCAUCCUCAAGAUCAUCUCAACAUCAUCAUCAACAUCCUGCCAAACUGUUACUGCUCACAUACAUCAUAUAAAUCAACUAUAAGUCAUUCCGUCAUGUGAGUGUUGAUCGAACGGUGUGACCUAGUAUGGACGCGGCUAUCGAUAGCUUAAACACACACUCUGCAGAGGUAGCGCACUGUACCC
This 7863-nucleotide long non-coding RNA is filed under the name Triticum aestivum (bread wheat). RNAcentral's name for it is "long non-coding RNA (TAES_LNC024380)". The record is from RNAcentral. Lineage: Eukaryota; Viridiplantae; Streptophyta; Magnoliopsida; Poales; Poaceae.